GACGAACGCUGGCGGUGUGCUUAACACAUGCAAGUCGAACGGUAAGGCCCUUUCGGGGGUACACGAGUGGCGAACGGGUGAGUAACACGUGAGUAACCUGCCCUCAUCUCUGGGAUAACAGUCGGAAACGGUUGCUAAUACUGGAUAUGAGCUUGCAAGGCAUCUUGUGGGUUGGAAAGAUUUUUUUGGGUUGGGGAUGGACUCGCGGCCUAUCAGCUUGUUGGUGAGGUAGUGGCUCACCAAGGCUUCGACGGGUAGCCGGCCUGAGAGGGCGACCGGCCACAUUGGGACUGAGAUACGGCCCAAACUCCUACGGGAGGCAGCAGUGGGGAAUAUUGCACAAUGGACGGAAGUCUGAUGCAGCAACGCCGCGUGCGGGAUGACGGCCUUCGGGUUGUAAACCGCUUUCAAUUGUGACGAAGCUUUUUUGUGACGGUAGCAGUAGAAGAAGCACCGGCUAACUACGUG
RNAcentral lists this ribosomal RNA (468 nucleotides) under uncultured bacterium. Its description in RNAcentral is "partial 16S ribosomal RNA". It matches the Rfam family "Bacterial small subunit ribosomal RNA", at positions 28 to 507 of the family's 1533-position model. The record is from RNAcentral.